CUUCGCCCCUGCCUGCGCGCGCCUUCCGGACGAGAGAGAGAGAGUGGGGGGGGUUCUCAUUUCCGACCUCAGAUCGGACGAGAUUACCCGCUGAAUUUAAGCAUAUCACUAAGCGGAGGAAAAGAAACU
This 129-nucleotide ribosomal RNA is filed under the name Turris cf. nadaensis MW-2014. Its description in RNAcentral is "partial 28S ribosomal RNA". The stretch from base 64 to 129 matches the Rfam family "Eukaryotic large subunit ribosomal RNA", at positions 1 to 66 of the family's 3401-position model. The record is from RNAcentral. Lineage: Eukaryota; Metazoa; Mollusca; Gastropoda; Neogastropoda; Turridae.